GAUGAACGCUGGCGGCGUGCCUAAUACAUGCAAGUCGAACGAAUGGAUUAAGAGCUUGCUCUUAUGAAGUUAGCGGCGGACGGGUGAGUAACACGUGGGUAACCUGCCCAUAAGACUGGGAUAACUCCGGGAAACCGGGGCUAAUACCGGAUAACAUUUUGAACCGCAUGGUUCGAAAUUGAAAGGCGGCCUCGGCUGUCACUUAUGGAUGGACCCGCGUCGCAUUAGCUAGUUGGGGAGGUAACGGCUCACCAAGGCAACGAUGCGUAGCCGACCUGAGAGGGUGAUCGGCCACACUGGGACUGAGACACGGCCCAGACUCCUACGGGAGGCAGCAGUAGGGAAUCUUCCGCAAUGGACGAAAGUCUGACGGAGCAACGCCGCGUGAGUGAUGAAGGCUUUCGGGUCGUAAAACUCUGUUGUUAGGGAAGAACAAGUGCUAGUUGAAUAAGCUGGCACCUUGACGGUACCUAACCAGAAAGCCACGGCUAACUACGUGCCAGCAGCCGCAGUAA
Molecule: ribosomal RNA, 515 nt
Filed under: uncultured bacterium
Lineage: Bacteria
Description: partial 16S ribosomal RNA
Rfam family: Bacterial small subunit ribosomal RNA
Source: RNAcentral